Molecule: ribosomal RNA, 450 nt
Filed under: uncultured bacterium
Lineage: Bacteria
Description: partial 16S ribosomal RNA
Rfam family: Bacterial small subunit ribosomal RNA
Source: RNAcentral
CCUACGGGGGGCUGCAGUCGAGGAUCUUCGGCAAUGGGCGCAAGCCUGACCGAGCGACGCCGCGUGUGGGAUGAAGGCCCUCGGGUUGUAAACCACUGUCAGAGGGGAUGAAAUGCCAUGGGGUUCUCUUCAUGGUUUGACAUAUCCUCAGAGGAAGGACGGGCUAAGUUCGUGCCAGCAGCCGCGGUAAGACGAACCGUCCAAACGUUAGGCGGUAUCACUGGCGUUGAAGGGUGCAUAGGUUGGGCGAGAAAGCCCUCGGCUUAACCGAGGAAUUGCGCUCAAAACUGCCGUGCUUGAGGGAGAUAGAGGUGAGCGGAACUUAGGGUGGAGCGGUGAAAUGCGUUGAUAUCCUAAGGAACACCUGGGGCGAAAGCGGCUCACUGGAUCUUUUCUGACGCUGAUGCACGAAAGCUAGGGUAGCGAACGGGAUUAGAUACCCGGGUAGUC